CUUUCUUUCUUCUUCUUUCCUGCUCUUCAUUUUUUCUUCUUCUUUCUUCCGCCCAAGACACGAGCAGAGAGAGUGAGAGUAUAGAGACAGAGAGAUGAGGCCGAGAGAUUGGGAGAGAAGGAGAAACGGAGAUAGAGAGAGAACCCGAGAGAGAGAUUGAGUGGAAGAGAGACGAAGCGGGAAGAGGCUGUGACCCGACGACCCAGGUGUGCGAUCCCGGUGGUCAGAACCAAAGACCGGCGUGGCAGUGCGUUUCCGGUGGAGCCCAGGCCGAUUUCCGGCCGAUCGUGGAGGACCCGAGUAACCGCAACCCGCCAGACCCGAGAGCUCUGAUGCCCGAUCCUUCGGUGGUGGAGUCCGGGGUGAUUUUCCGGCGGUACAGGUGGACUUCCGGCGAACCAGAAGCCGAUUUCCGGCGGGCUCAGGUGUUUUCCGGCCUAACCCCGUGACCCGAAGACCCGAAGCCCAGUGACCCCAAAUCCGACAGACCCAGAACCCGGUCCUCCAUGGCGUUUUCCGGCGACUUCCAGAACUGAUUUCCGGUUGUUUCAGCAUGGUUUUCUGGUGGAUUUAUGAGAAAUCCCCAAAGUAAAAGGUCGAUUCUGACGCUAAUGGAAAGUCCAGAUGACAACCGUAAGACGAAGACUUUUUCUUGUAAGGGCGUAGACCUCGCUGAGAGCGAUAGUUCGUGAUGAACCAGCCAAACCCUAGUAUUGUAUAGUACGAUUUGUUCCUUUUGGAGUUCAUGAUAUUGUAUAGAUUUAUAAAUAGAAAGGUUUAAGAGAGUAGAAAUUUUAAAUUUUUAGUUGUAAAUGCACGCUUUCAUUUAUAAUGUUUGUUUUUAGCACUUA
Long non-coding RNA from Alnus glutinosa, 851 nucleotides. RefSeq lists it as uncharacterized. The transcript is spliced from 3 exons. Lineage: Eukaryota; Viridiplantae; Streptophyta; Magnoliopsida; Fagales; Betulaceae. The record is from RefSeq and is a predicted model, not a curated record.